CCCUUAGAUGUUCUGGGCCGCACGCGCGCUACACUGAUGCAUUCAACGAGCUUUCUCCCUGUUCCGAGAGGAAUGGGUAAUCUUUGAAUAUGCAUCGUGCUGGGGAUAGAUUAUUGCAAUUAUUAAUCUUGAACGAGGAAUGCCUAGUAAGCGCGAAUCAUUAGUUCGCGCUGAAUACGUCCCUGCCCUUUGUACACACCGCCCGUCGCUCCUACCGAUUGGGUGAUCCGGUGAAUAAUUCGGAUUGCGACAGUUCAAGGGGUUCGCUCCUUUGCUGUUGUGAGAAGUUUUGUGAACCUUAUCACCUAGAGGAAGGAGAAGUCGUAACA
Molecule: ribosomal RNA, 329 nt
Filed under: uncultured eukaryote
Lineage: Eukaryota
Description: partial 18S ribosomal RNA
Rfam family: Eukaryotic small subunit ribosomal RNA
Source: RNAcentral